UCCUUGGUGGUCCAGUGGCUAAGAAUCUGUGUUCCCAUUACAGAGAGCCCAGGUUCAAUCCCUGGUUAGGGAA
This 73-nucleotide transfer RNA is filed under the name Ovis aries (sheep). It matches the Rfam family "tRNA". Rfam says of the family: Transfer RNA (tRNA) molecules are approximately 80 nucleotides in length. Their secondary structure includes four short double-helical elements and three loops (D, anti-codon, and T loops). The record is from Rfam by way of RNAcentral. Lineage: Eukaryota; Metazoa; Chordata; Mammalia; Artiodactyla; Bovidae.